CCUACUCUUGACAUCCAGAGAACUUUCCAGAGAUGGAUUGGUGCCUUCGGGAACUCUGAGACAGGUGCUGCAUGGCUGUCGUCAGCUCGUGUUGUGAAAUGUUGGGUUAAGUCCCGCAACGAGCGCAACCCUUAUCCUUGUUUGCCAGCGAGUAAUGUCGGGAACUCCAGGGAGACUGCCGGUGAUAAACCGGAGGAAGGUGGGGACGACGUCAAGUCAUCAUGGCCCUUACGAGUAGGGCUACACACGUGCUACAAUGGCGCAUACAGAGGGCGGCCAACUUGCGAAAGUGAGCGAAUCCCAAAAAGUGCGUCGUAGUCCGGAUUGGAGUCUGCAACUCGACUCCAUGAAGUCGGAAUCGCUAGUAAUCGUGGAUCAGAAUGCCACGGUGAAUACGUUCCC
Molecule: ribosomal RNA, 402 nt
Filed under: Vibrio natriegens NBRC 15636 = ATCC 14048 = DSM 759
Lineage: Bacteria; Pseudomonadati; Pseudomonadota; Gammaproteobacteria; Vibrionales; Vibrionaceae
Description: bacterial SSU rRNA
Rfam family: Bacterial small subunit ribosomal RNA
Source: RNAcentral